This 253-nucleotide ribosomal RNA is filed under the name uncultured bacterium. Its description in RNAcentral is "partial 16S ribosomal RNA". It matches the Rfam family "Bacterial small subunit ribosomal RNA", at positions 524 to 776 of the family's 1533-position model. The record is from RNAcentral.
UACGUAGGGUGCAAGCGUUAAUCGGAAUUACUGGGCGUAAAGCGUGCGCAGGCGGUUAUGUAAGACAGUUGUGAAAUCCCCGGGCUCAACCUGGGAACUGCGUCUGUGACUGCAUAGCUAGAGUACGGUAGAGGGGGAUGGAAUUCCGCGUGUAGCAGUGAAAUGCGUAGAUAUGCGGAGGAACACCGAUGGCGAAGGCAAUCCCCUGGACCUGUACUGACGCUCAUGCACGAAAGCGUGGGGAGCAAACAGG